GCUACACAGCCAAACGUCAGCUGGCGCAUAGAAGCUCACUAACAGCAUCACGUUGUCACAUUAAAGCAUCAACAACAUAUCCUUAAAUUUUAAGGCUUGAAUUAUUGUAUCAAUAGAGAUAAAGUAAGUUUUUGAGUGAAACGUUAACUUUAAGUGAGGACUGAGUUUUCGUAACUUAAAUGCCUCGGAGGUUUUAGUUAUUGUGCUGUAGAACAGUAAACGUCAAUCGUACCAUUAAACUCAUGUUUACUGCGAUGGAAGGUGUUAUGGAUGAAUUAUAUGGACACAGAAGACAGUUUGGGAUCACGAGAAAUCAAAGCAAUUCUAUCGCGUGUUUGGGAGGAGUUUGCGGGGAGGGGGAUUGAGUUUUAGCGGAAACCAUUGGUUCGAUAACUAUAUAUAUACAGGCCACACUCGCAAGUAUUUACGUUACAACUUGUUUAUCAAUAAUAAUACUUCGGAGAUGAAGGAAAGCACUAUAUAAAUAUUUCCUAUCGAACAGGCACAACCGCUGGUGCUGUAGGAAAUAAAUAAUCAUGAUCUGCAUUUACAUGUACCUUUGUUUCUGUCAAAGGUUUGGCGAUUUUAAUCCUGUGUAAGAAGUUCCAAAAUCAGCUGGGAAAGUGCUUCGGAAUUUAUUUACUGCACUAGAUGGCAGAGCGACCCUGACAUUAUUGCCGAGAUAACCCCAGCACCAGCUCACUAACAGCAUCACGCUGUCACAUUAAAGCAUCAACACCAUGUUAAAUUUUAAGGCUUGAAUUAUUGUAUCAAUAGAGAUAAAGUAAGUUUUUGAGUGAAACGUUAACUUUAAGUGAGGACUGAGUUUUCGUAACUUAAAUGCCUCGGAGGUUUUAGUUAUUGUGCUGUAGAACAGUAAACGUCAAUCGUACCAUUAAACUCAUGUUUACUGCGA
Stylophora pistillata is the source of this 916-nucleotide long non-coding RNA. The record is from RefSeq and is a predicted model, not a curated record. Lineage: Eukaryota; Metazoa; Cnidaria; Anthozoa; Scleractinia; Pocilloporidae.